CUUUAAACACAAGAAAAAUUAUCUCAUUUUUCUAGCUCAAUCAAGAAAAUCAGCUGCUCCUUAAAAAGCUGAGGCAGGUACGCCUAAAAAACAAGCAGCUGGAAUAUGAUGUAGUGCAGCUGCAUGAUAAACUACAUGAGAAAAAGAAGUGCUUGCCUGCCUGUGUCACAAGGAAAGAAGUAUUACAGAUGUAUAAUGAACUGAAGAAAAGGUACAAUAAAGAAGUCAAAACAAAUCAAAGACAAAAUGAAACAGUUGCAAUGCUGUCUGGUAAAAUUAAUGACUUGGAACACCAACUUCAUUUAGCAAACCAAAAGAUAAAUGCCUUGGAAUAUAAAAAAAAGGACAAAUUUGCUUCAAUUCAACGAAGACUGUCAUCUGACAAAUGUAUGUGCAAAAAGAAAGGAAGCUGUUCCUGCAAAUAUUUAGACCAGCUGCUUUUUGAGACACAGAGACUGAAGAUGGAAAAUGAAACGCUCUCCAAAGAAAGAAGAAUGUUAAAAAAUGAGCUUGCUGCAUUAGAUAAGGAUUUCUUUGAUGAAAUAGAAGAUUUAAAAUAUGCUCUACAAGAAGCCGUAAAGCUGAAUACCCACUAUGAAAAGUAUUUAAAACAGUUAAGUUCCACUUAUGGAAUCACUCUUACAGUGUUGAGAGCUGGCAAUCCUCGUACAACUUUAUGGAAAUAAUAAUCAAGACUAUUAUUAAAGUAUACUGAGUGUACACAGAAAAAUAAACUCUCAACAGAGUAAUUUCUUAAUUUGUGC
RNAcentral lists this long non-coding RNA (764 nucleotides) under Notechis scutatus (mainland tiger snake). Its description in RNAcentral is "lncRNA (ENSNSUG00000009272.1)". Lineage: Eukaryota; Metazoa; Chordata; Lepidosauria; Squamata; Elapidae. The record is from RNAcentral.